GUGAAAUGUACUUACCGCACUUGCGAGCUAACAAACCUGAAAUCAAUUGCAGGUGUACCAGUUUCCCUGGUGUUGGCGCAUAAUUCGCGCACCCCGGCUUCGGU
Molecule: small RNA, 104 nt
Filed under: Lonsdalea quercina
Lineage: Bacteria; Pseudomonadati; Pseudomonadota; Gammaproteobacteria; Enterobacterales; Pectobacteriaceae
Description: SraH RNA
Source: RNAcentral